AUCAGGGGUAAACCUGUGGAACUCGAACGAUUGAACGGGGAGAUUCAUCGCUCUUCCGUCGGGGUCCGCGCCGUCGACGCGCGUCGGCGGAGAUUUCGGUCUCCGAUCGGCGCGAGUCGGCGGCGCAGUCGAGGCCCUCGGAGUGCGCGCACUUCUCCCUCAGUAUAACACCGCGACCCGUCGACGGCGGGGUCGAACGCGUCGUGCGGUUGUCCCGUCGGUUCGGUUUCGCGAUCGAACCGGCGGAGCCGCGACGUCGCGGCCCCCCGUUUCGACGGUAAAACACGAGGAUCCGAUCCGCCUCUUCGUGAGGCGUCCGUGACGCGACGGCGGCUCUCCCCGCUCGGACCUCGGCGCCUCGCGCGUCGUCUGGCUCCGGGCGUCGGUAAAACGUCAGGGAGUCGCAUUUCACGCCGCGUCGUCUCGGACGGGAGUUCGGUCCCGGUCAGCGGUGGUUUUGUUUCGGGCACUCACAGGACCCGUCUUGAA
This 489-nucleotide ribosomal RNA is filed under the name Austropsyche sp. L002. RNAcentral's name for it is "partial 28S ribosomal RNA". Lineage: Eukaryota; Metazoa; Arthropoda; Insecta; Trichoptera; Hydropsychidae. The record is from RNAcentral.